This 872-nucleotide long non-coding RNA is filed under the name Capsicum annuum. Its description in RNAcentral is "long non-coding RNA (CANN_LNC017634)". The record is from RNAcentral. Lineage: Eukaryota; Viridiplantae; Streptophyta; Magnoliopsida; Solanales; Solanaceae.
UGACAAUCACUGACAAACUAAUUAAGAUUACAUUUUUUCUUGAUUCAAUACAAUAAAUAAAUUACAAAUAAAAACAUAAAACAAAAAAAACUCUACAUAAAUAUUAAACUUUACAUCUUAAAUUAUGAAAUUAUUAAAAUAACUUUGAUCAUUAUGUGAUUCAUAAUAAAACUUACAAAAUAAAUAGAAAAAAAUCUCAAGUAGAACCUGUGUGAUAAGUUAACCAAAGAUGAAAAUCAAAUAUCGUCACCGGAAAAUUCGAACGAAAUCCGAACUCGAAUUGCCAAACCUAAAGAACUUCUCUUGCUUUUUUUUUUUUUAAUAUGAUUUCGAAUUUUUCUUUAAAAAUUUUCUAACUCUUUUUUUUUCUCACUCUGUCUUUUUUUUUCUUCUUACUUUCACUUUUUUUUUUUUUUAACUUUUUUGCUUGUUUUUCUCUCUUCUCCGUAUUUGUUAGUACUUCCUCAAUUUUCUCCUUCUUGUUGCCUCCACCCUUUUUUUUUUUUUGUUUCUGUCCGUGUGUUUCUUGUGUUGUUUGUGUGUGUAAUAUAGUGUGUAGGAUUGGGAAGUUGAGGGAGUUGGAGGAAAAGGUGGGGGUGGUUGGGGUAGAUUAGGAUAAGAUAGAAUUUUCAAAUUUUAAAACUUUUUCUUUUUCAAUUAAAGAAGACAAUAAUAAUAACAAAUAAAAUAACAAUGAUAAUAAAAAUAAUACAAUAACAACUGAUUAAUUUUUAUAAUUCAGAUAAUACAAUAAAAGUUUAAAAAUAAUUAAAAACAAAUAUAAUUAAGAUAGUACUAAAACUACUGACUUAUUUGUUUAAAAUUUAAAAAGAAAAAUAUUUGUUUUUUCAAAAAAAGAAUUUUGUAUUAUU